Molecule: ribosomal RNA, 475 nt
Filed under: uncultured organism
Description: partial 16S ribosomal RNA
Rfam family: Bacterial small subunit ribosomal RNA
Source: RNAcentral
ACUCCUACGGGAGGCAGCAGUGGGGAAUUUUGGACAAUGGGCGAAAGCCUGAUCCAGCCAUGCCGCGUGCAGGAUGAAGGCCUUCGGGUUGUAAACUGCUUUUGUACGGAACGAAACGGCCUUUUCUAAUAAAGAGGGCUAAUGACGGUACCGUAAGAAUAAGCACCGGCUAACUACGUGCCAGCAGCCGCGGUAAUACGUAGGGUGCAAGCGUUAAUCGGAAUUACUGGGCGUAAAGCGUGCGCAGGCGGUUAUGUAAGACAGUUGUGAAAUCCCCGGGCUCAACCUGGGAACUGCAUCUGUGACUGCAUAGCUAGAGUACGGUAGAGGGGGAUGGAAUUCCGCGUGUAGCAGUGAAAUGCGUAGAUAUGCGGAGGAACACCGAUGGCGAAGGCAAUCCCCUGGACCUGUACUGACGCUCAUGCACGAAAGCGUGGGGAGCAAACAGGAUUAGAAACCCCGGUAGUCCCAUGAU